UAGUGAUGUCAGGCUCUGACAAGUAUUU
Molecule: non-coding RNA, 28 nt
Filed under: Rattus norvegicus (Norway rat)
Lineage: Eukaryota; Metazoa; Chordata; Mammalia; Rodentia; Muridae
Source: RNAcentral